ACUGUGGAGUAUACAAGAACUUGUGAGUAGUAUAUUUAAUUUAAAAUUAAAUUACAAAAGCAUAUACGUUGAAUCAGUAA
This 80-nucleotide non-coding RNA is filed under the name unclassified sequences. RNAcentral's name for it is "RAGATH-18 RNA". It matches the Rfam family "RAGATH-18 RNA". From Rfam's summary of the family: Actinobacteria, Firmicutes, Fusobacteria, Thermotogae (1 example). Nearby to self-cleaving ribozyme genes The record is from Rfam by way of RNAcentral.